GAUGUGUAGGAUAGGUGGGAGGCUUUGAAGUGUGGACGCCAGUCUGCAUGGAGCCGACCUUGAAAUACCACCCUUUAAUGUUUGAUGUUCUAACGUUGACCCGUAAUCCGGGUUGCGGACAGUGUCUGGUGGGUAGUUUGACUGGGGCGGUCUCCUCCUAAAGAGUAACGGAGGAGCACGAAGGUUGGCUAAUCCUGGUCGGACAUCAGGAGGUUAGUGCAAUGGCAUAAGCCAGCUUGACUGCGAGCGUGACGGCGCGAGCAGGUGCGAAAGCAGGUCAUAGUGAUCCGGUGGUUCUGAAUGGAAGGGCCAUCGCUCAACGGAUAAAAGGUACUCCGGGGAUAACAGGCUGAUACCGCCCAAGAGUUCAUAUCGACGGCGGUGUUUGGCACCUCGAUGUCGGCUCAUCACAUCCUGGGGCUGAAGUAGGUCCCAAGGGUAUGGCUGUUCGCCAUUUAAAGUGGUACGCGAGCUGGGUUUAGAACGUCGUGAGACAGUUCGGUCCCUA
Molecule: ribosomal RNA, 508 nt
Filed under: Escherichia coli
Lineage: Bacteria; Pseudomonadati; Pseudomonadota; Gammaproteobacteria; Enterobacterales; Enterobacteriaceae
Description: partial 23S ribosomal RNA
Rfam family: Bacterial large subunit ribosomal RNA
Source: RNAcentral